This 548-nucleotide ribosomal RNA is filed under the name uncultured Glomeromycotina. RNAcentral's name for it is "SSU rRNA". It matches the Rfam family "Eukaryotic small subunit ribosomal RNA", at positions 548 to 1098 of the family's 1831-position model. Lineage: Eukaryota; Fungi; Glomeromycota. The record is from RNAcentral.
UUGGAGGGCAAGUCUGGUGCCAGCAGCCGCGGUAAUUCCAGCUCCAAUAGCGUAUAUUAAAGUUGCUGCAGUUAAAAAGCUCGUAGUUGAAUUUCGGGACCAUCAUGUCGGUCGUGCCUCGGUACGUACUGGUAUUGUUGGUUUCUCCCUUCUGACGAACCAUGAUGUCAUUUAUUUGGUGUUGUGGGGAAUCAGGACUGUUACUUUGAAAAAAUUAGAGUGUUUAAAGCAGGCUCACGCUUGAAUACAUUAGCAUGGAAUAAUGAAAUAGGACGUUUGAUUCUAUUUUGUUGGUUUCUAGGAUCGACGUAAUGAUUAAUAGGGAUAGUUGGGGGCAUUAGUAUUCAAUUGUCAGAGGUGAAAUUCUUGGAUUUAUUGAAGACCAACUACUGCGAAAGCAUUUGCCAAGGAUGUUUUCAUUAAUCAAGAACGAAAGUUAGGGGAUCGAAGACGAUCAGAUACCGUCGUAGUCUUAACCAUAAACUACGCCGACUAGGGAUCGGAUGAUGUUAAUUUUUUAAUGACUCAUUCGGCGCCUUACGGGAAAC